Molecule: ribosomal RNA, 508 nt
Filed under: uncultured bacterium
Lineage: Bacteria
Description: bacterial SSU rRNA
Rfam family: Bacterial small subunit ribosomal RNA
Source: RNAcentral
AGAGUUUGAUCCUGGCUCAAAAUGAACGUUGGCGGCGUGGAUUAGGCAUGCAAGUCGUACGCCCCGCAAGGGGCGUGGCGUAAGGGUGAGUAAUGCGACGGUAACCAACCCCAAGGCCGGGUAUAGCCGCGGGAAACUGCGGGUAAUCCCCGGAGCGGUCACGUGAGGACAUCCUCGUGUGAUCAAAGGUGCGAUUCCGCCUUGGGACGGGCCGUCGUGGUAUCAGGUAGUUGGUGGGGUGACGGCCUACCAAGCCGACGACGCCUACCGGGCGUGCGAGCGUGGCCCGGCAAACUGGAACUGAGACACUGUCCAGACACCUACGGGUGGCGGCAGUCGAGAAUCUUCGGCAAUGGGCGAAAGCCUGACCGAGCGACGCCGCGUGGAGGAUGAAGGCCUUCGGGUUGUAAACUCCUGUCGAGGGGGACUAAGGUGCCGUGAAGAACGGCGCUUGAGGUAUCCCUGGAGGAAGCACGGGCUAAGUUCGUGCCAGCCGCCGCGGUAAUUC